Molecule: ribosomal RNA, 1469 nt
Filed under: Lactobacillus sp. TBZ
Lineage: Bacteria; Bacillati; Bacillota; Bacilli; Lactobacillales; Lactobacillaceae
Description: bacterial SSU rRNA
Rfam family: Bacterial small subunit ribosomal RNA
Source: RNAcentral
AGAGUUUGAUCAUGGCUCAGGAUGAACGCUGGCGGCGUGCCUAAUACAUGCAAGUCGAACGAGUUCUGAUUAUUGAAAGGUGCUUGCAUCUUGAUUUAAUUUUGAACGAGUGGCGGACGGGUGAGUAACACGUGGGUAACCUGCCCUUAAGUGGGGGAUAACAUUUGGAAACAGAUGCUAAUACCGCAUAAAUCCAAGAACCGCAUGGUUCUUGGCUGAAAGAUGGCGUAAGCUAUCGCUUUUGGAUGGACCCGCGGCGUAUUAGCUAGUUGGUGAGGUAACGGCUCACCAAGGCAAUGAUACGUAGCCGAACUGAGAGGUUGAUCGGCCACAUUGGGACUGAGACACGGCCCAAACUCCUACGGGAGGCAGCAGUAGGGAAUCUUCCACAAUGGACGCAAGUCUGAUGGAGCAACGCCGCGUGAGUGAAGAAGGCUUUCGGGUCGUAAAACUCUGUUGUUGGAGAAGAAUGGUCGGCAGAGUAACUGUUGUCGGCGUGACGGUAUCCAACCAGAAAGCCACGGCUAACUACGUGCCAGCAGCCGCGGUAAUACGUAGGUGGCAAGCGUUAUCCGGAUUUAUUGGGCGUAAAGCGAGCGCAGGCGGUUUUUUAAGUCUGAUGUGAAAGCCCUCGGCUUAACCGAGGAAGUGCAUCGGAAACUGGGAAACUUGAGUGCAGAAGAGGACAGUGGAACUCCAUGUGUAGCGGUGAAAUGCGUAGAUAUAUGGAAGAACACCAGUGGCGAAGGCGGCUGUCUGGUCUGUAACUGACGCUGAGGCUCGAAAGCAUGGGUAGCGAACAGGAUUAGAUACCCUGGUAGUCCAUGCCGUAAACGAUGAAUGCUAGGUGUUGGAGGGUUUCCGCCCUUCAGUGCCGCAGCUAACGCAUUAAGCAUUCCGCCUGGGGAGUACGACCGCAAGGUUGAAACUCAAAGGAAUUGACGGGGGCCCGCACAAGCGGUGGAGCAUGUGGUUUAAUUCGAAGCAACGCGAAGAACCUUACCAGGUCUUGACAUCUUUUGAUCACCUGAGAGAUCAGGUUUCCCCUUCGGGGGCAAAAUGACAGGUGGUGCAUGGUUGUCGUCAGCUCGUGUCGUGAGAUGUUGGGUUAAGUCCCGCAACGAGCGCAACCCUUAUGACUAGUUGCCAGCAUUUAGUUGGGCACUCUAGUAAGACUGCCGGUGACAAACCGGAGGAAGGUGGGGAUGACGUCAAAUCAUCAUGCCCCUUAUGACCUGGGCUACACACGUGCUACAAUGGAUGGUACAACGAGUUGCGAGACCGCGAGGUCAAGCUAAUCUCUUAAAGCCAUUCUCAGUUCGGACUGUAGGCUGCAACUCGCCUACACGAAGUCGGAAUCGCUAGUAAUCGCGGAUCAGCACGCCGCGGUGAAUACGUUCCCGGGCCUUGUACACACCGCCCGUCACACCAUGAGAGUUUGUAACACCCGAAGCCGGUGGCGUAACCCU